CAAUAGCGUAUAUUAAAGUUGUUGCAGUUAAAAAGCUCGUAGUUGGACCUUGGACCUGGACAGGCGGUCCGCCUCACGGCGAGUACUGUCUUGCUGGGUCCUUCCUCUUGGUGAUCUGUUGUUUCGGCAGCAGGGAACCAGGACCUUUACUUUGAAAAAAUUAGAGUGUUCAAAGCAGGCUCGACGCCGGAAUAUAUUAGCAUGGAAUAAUAAAAUAGGACGUGCGGUUCUAUUUUGUUGGUUUUUGGAAUCGCCGUAAUGAUUAAUAGGGACAGUCGGGGGCAUUAGUACUCACAUGCUAGAGGUGAAAUUCUUGGAUUUUGUGAAGACUAACUUCUGCGAANGNAUUUGCNAAGGAUGUUUNCAUUA
RNAcentral lists this ribosomal RNA (369 nucleotides) under uncultured eukaryote. Its description in RNAcentral is "partial 18S ribosomal RNA". It matches the Rfam family "Eukaryotic small subunit ribosomal RNA", at positions 592 to 975 of the family's 1831-position model. The record is from RNAcentral.